GACGAACGCUGGCGGCGUGCUUAACACGUGCAAGUCGAACGGAAAGGCCCUGCUCUUGUGGGGCGCUCGUGUGGCGAACGGGUGUGUCACACGUGUGUACCCUGCCCUUGACUUUGGGAUAACUUCAGGAAACUGGGGCUAAUACCGGAUAGGAGCCCCUGCUGCAUGGUGGGGGUUGGAAAGUUUCGGCGGUUGGGGAUGGUCUCGCGGCUUAUCAGCUUGUUGGUGGGGUUGUGGCUUACCAAGGCUUUGACGGGUGGCCGGCCUGAGAGGGUGACCGGCCACAUGGGGACUGGGAUACGGCCCGAACUCCAAGGGGAGGCAGCAGUGGGAAAUAUGGCACAAGGGGCGGAGGCCUGAGGCAGCAACGCCGGGUGCGGGAGAAGGGCCUUCGGGUGGAAAACCGCUUUCGCCUGGGACGAAGCGUGAGUGACGGUAAUGGGUAAAGAAGCACCGGCUAACUACGUG
Molecule: ribosomal RNA, 468 nt
Filed under: uncultured bacterium
Lineage: Bacteria
Description: partial 16S ribosomal RNA
Rfam family: Bacterial small subunit ribosomal RNA
Source: RNAcentral